CCUACGGGCGGCUGCAGUGAGGAAUAUUGGUCAAUGGCCGGGAGGCUGAACCAGCCAAGUCGCGUGAGGGAAGACGGCCCUACGGGUUGUAAACCUCUUUUGUCAGGUAGCAAGGUGCAGGUCGGGACCUGCUGUGAGAGUACCUGAAGAAAAAGCAUCGGCUAACUCCGUUCCAGCAGCCGCGGUAAUACGGAGGAUGCGAGCGUUAUCCGGAUUUAUUGGGUUUAAAGGGUGCGCAGGCGGAGGCACAAGUCAGCGGUAAAAUCGCGGGGCUCAACCCCGCUCCGCCGUUGAAACUGUGUCCCUUGAGUGCGCGAAGGGUAGGCGGAAUGCGUGGUGUAGCGGUGAAAUGCAUAGAUAUAAGGAAGAACACCAGUGGCGAAGGCGGAUUACUGGACGAUAACUGACGGUGAGGCGCGAAAGCGUGGGGAGCAAACAGGAUUAGAUACCCUAGUAGUC
RNAcentral lists this ribosomal RNA (459 nucleotides) under uncultured bacterium. Its description in RNAcentral is "partial 16S ribosomal RNA". It matches the Rfam family "Bacterial small subunit ribosomal RNA", at positions 338 to 795 of the family's 1533-position model. The record is from RNAcentral.